CCCAGACUCCUACGGGAGGCAGCAGUGAGGAAUAUUGGUCAAUGGCCGGGAGGCUGAACCAGCCAAGUCGCGUGAGGGAAGACGGCCCUACGGGUUGUAAACCUCUUUUGUCAGGGAGCAAGGUGCAGGUCGGGACCUGCUGUGAGAGUACCUGAAGAAAAAGCAUCGGCUAACUCCGUGCCAGCAGCCGCGGUAAUACGGAGGAUGCGAGCGUUAUCCGGAUUUAUUGGGUUUAAAGGGUGCGCAGGCGGAGCCACAAGACGGCGGUAAAAUCGGGGGGCUCACCCCCGCUCCGCCGUUGAAACUGAUGAUCUUGAGUGGGCGAGAAGUAUGCGGAAUGCGCGGUGUAGCGGUGAAAUGCAUAGAUAUCGCGCAGAACUCCGAUUGCGAAGGCAGCGUACCGGCGCCAGACUGACGCUGAGGCACGAAAGCGUGGGGAUCGAACAGGAUUAGAUACCCCAGUA
This 464-nucleotide ribosomal RNA is filed under the name uncultured bacterium. Its description in RNAcentral is "bacterial SSU rRNA". It matches the Rfam family "Bacterial small subunit ribosomal RNA", at positions 330 to 792 of the family's 1533-position model. The record is from RNAcentral.